This 567-nucleotide ribosomal RNA is filed under the name uncultured bacterium. RNAcentral describes it as "partial 16S ribosomal RNA". It matches the Rfam family "Bacterial small subunit ribosomal RNA", at positions 355 to 914 of the family's 1533-position model. The record is from RNAcentral.
UGGGGAAUUUUGGACAAUGGGCGAAAGCCUGAUCCAGCAAUGCCGCGUGUGUGAAGAAGGCCUUCGGGUUGUAAAGCACUUUUGUCCGGAAAGAAAUCCUUGGCUCUAAUACAGUCAGGGGAUGACGGUACCGGAAGAAUAAGCACCGGCUAACUACGUGCCAGCAGCCGCGGUAAUACGUAGGGUGCAAGCGUUAAUCGGAAUUACUGGGCGUAAAGCGUGCGCAGGCGGUUUGCUAAGACCGAUGUGAAAUCCCCGGGCUCAACCUGGGAACUGCAUUGGUGACUGGCAGGCUAGAGUAUGGCAGAGGGGGGUAGAAUUCCACGUGUAGCAGUGAAAUGCGUAGAGAUGUGGAGGAAUACCGAUGGCGAAGGCAGCCCCCUGGGCCAAUACUGACGCUCAUGCACGAAAGCGUGGGGAGCAAACAGGAUUAGAUACCCUGGUAGUCCACGCCCUAAAACGAUGUCAACUAGUUGUUGGGGAUUCAUUUCCUUAGUAACGUAGCUAACGCGUGAAGUUGACCGCCUGGGGAGUACGGUCGCAAGAUUAAAACUCAAAUGAAUUGAC